GACGAACGCUGGCGGCGUGCUUAACACAUGCAAGUCGAACGGUGAAGCGCCUUCCUUUUUGGUGGGUGUGGAUGAGUGGCGAACGGGUGAGUAACACGUGAGUAACCUGCCCCCUUCUUCUGGAUAACCGCAUGAAAGUGUGGCUAAUACGGGAUAUUCUGGGUCUGUCGCAUGAUGGGUCUGGGAAAGAUAUUGUUUCGGUGGGGGAUGGGCUCGCGGCCUAUCAGCUUGUUGGUGGGGUGAUGGCCUACCAAGGCGGUGACGGGUAGCCGGCCUGAGAGGGUGGACGGUCACACUGGGACUGAGACACGGCCCAGACUCCUACGGGAGGCAGCAGUGGGGAAUAUUGCACAAUGGGCGCAAGCCUGAUGCAGCGACGCCACGUGAGGGAUGGAGGCCUUCGGGUUGUGAACCUCUUUCGCCAGUGAAGCAGGCCUGCCUCGUUUGUGGGUGGGUUGACAGUAGCUGGAGAAGAAGCGCCGGCUAACUACGUG
RNAcentral lists this ribosomal RNA (494 nucleotides) under uncultured bacterium. Its description in RNAcentral is "partial 16S ribosomal RNA". It matches the Rfam family "Bacterial small subunit ribosomal RNA", at positions 28 to 507 of the family's 1533-position model. The record is from RNAcentral.